CCUACGGGUGGCUGCAGUGAGGAAUAUUGGUCAAUGGGCGCGAGCCUGAACCAGCCAAGGAGCGUGAAGGAUGAAUGCCCUACGUGUUGUAAACUUCUUUUAUAAAGGAAUAAAGUGAGGCACGAGUGCCCGUCUGUGUGUACUUUAUGAAUAAGGAUCUGCUAACUCCGUGCCAGCAGCCGCGGUCAUACGGAGGAUGCGAGCGUUAUCCGGAUUUAUUGGGUUUAAAGGGUGCGUAGGUGGGUUGUUAAGUCAGUUGUGAAAGUUUGGGGCUCAACCGUAAACGUGCAUUGGAGACUGGCAGCUGUGAGAUCGAUAGAGGUAGGCGGAAUGCGCGGUGUAGCGGUGAAAUGCUUAGAGAU
This 362-nucleotide ribosomal RNA is filed under the name uncultured bacterium. RNAcentral's name for it is "partial 16S ribosomal RNA". It matches the Rfam family "Bacterial small subunit ribosomal RNA", at positions 338 to 697 of the family's 1533-position model. The record is from RNAcentral.